CCGCUUCACGGAGUAAUUCUCCUUCUCAACCAGCCUCCGCCAUUAUGCCUCUGACGUGCGGCUUCCCUGCGCUGCGAAACUCUGGCGUCACUCUGUUUACAAGUAGCCCAGCGCCACCUAAAGGCCAAAAACCAAUCACACAGAACUUUAUCCUGGCAGCAGUGGGUUCACUGGAUGAACACAGGAAGAAGCUGUCCACUGUCUUCCUUUUCUGUGAGCUUGUCCAAGAUGCUGAACUGAACUGAACUGGAUGACUCUAAACUCUGCCUUUUUGGACAAUUCAAGACAAAGAGUAUUAGAACAACGUGCUUUGGUUGUAAGCUUAGCAUGCAUAUAUUGGUAGCCAGAGUGGUUAAACUUGAGGUUUCUCCACAAGUAUAUAUUUAACAAUUUUGUAAACUGAUUGAUUUCCUAUGAACCUGCUCUUUGAGUUUACUUCCAGUGAACCUUCUACUUUGUUUAAUCGCAGCCAUCUUCACAUCAAACCAGCUGUUAAUCUGUUAUGUAAACCGAUGGGAUAAUGGUCAUCACUGGUCUGCAGUCUGUAUGAUAUGCCCCUACUGUGACAUCCCACUAUAUGAGGAAUGUCUUCACAUUUUCACUCCCAGUUGUUUGAGUGUGACUUUUAAUCAUAUAAAAAUGAGAAUAGUGAAAUAAGCUGUUUCUCAUCAAAACUUUC
Tachysurus fulvidraco (yellow catfish) is the source of this 679-nucleotide long non-coding RNA. RefSeq lists it as uncharacterized. The transcript is spliced from 2 exons. The record is from RefSeq and is a predicted model, not a curated record. NCBI's taxonomy places the organism in Eukaryota, Metazoa, Chordata, Actinopteri, Siluriformes, Bagridae.